This is a non-coding RNA of Pelobates cultripes (western spadefoot toad), 214 nucleotides long. Lineage: Eukaryota; Metazoa; Chordata; Amphibia; Anura; Pelobatidae. The record is from the annotation of a GenBank genome assembly.
UUUGGAAUUUGUAAAAAUUAACCAUUCCUGUCAAAACCAUGUCACAUUUCUAAGACAAUAUACUAGAUGAAGAAAGGAGGAGUGAAACAUGGCAGAACCCAGGAUAAAGAAGCUGGUACAGUAAAGAAAUUAGAGCAAAUAACGAAAAAAAGAAAGUGGGAAUUCUCAGCAGAGAGAAGAAUAGUCUCCUCUUGCAAAACACAACAGUCUUGGC